Diabrotica virgifera virgifera (western corn rootworm) is the source of this 386-nucleotide long non-coding RNA. RefSeq lists it as uncharacterized. The transcript has 2 exons. NCBI's taxonomy places the organism in Eukaryota, Metazoa, Arthropoda, Insecta, Coleoptera, Chrysomelidae. The record is from RefSeq and is a predicted model, not a curated record.
CCCCGCGCACUCUAAUAAAAAACAUGUAAUCGUAUUUAUUUUCCUUCCAUUUUGUCAGAGGCGCUGAUGUCGGCAUUGUGAUUGGUGGAACAUGACUUUUGACAAAUCCUGCGCUAUCCGUGAAUCUGUUCAGUCAUUCUAUAUGGUCGGUUUAUGUAUGUGAUGUGUUUGUGUCACCAUAAAAAGCUGAUAUUCAGUCGUGUUUUUUGAUAUUUUUGUUAUUUUGUAAUCGAGUACCUUUUUAAAGGUCUAAUGGCUCCCAUCAGGUGUUGUGUGCAGACGGUGGAAAAAUUCAACGAGUAAACAUAUAUUUAAUCCAAAUUAAAUACUCAUAUUUCUAUGUAAAAUGUCACAUUAUUGUAUAAAUAAAUAAUUAAGAAACAAAA